CCCCCUCUGGCCGGGAGGAGCCGUGUCUGCUCAAGAUGCUCAGGAAUGGGCAUGUGGGUAUUUCCUUUGUGCCCAAGGAAAUUGGAGAGCAUCUGGUUAACAUUAAGAAAAAUGGACGUCAUAUUCCUAAUAGCCCCAUCUCAGUCAUGAUCAACCAAUCUGAGCUCGGUGAUGCCAGCCGCGUGCGUGUAACUGGUCAAGGCCUGAGUGAAGCCCGCACCUUUGAGCCUGCAGAAUUUGUCAUUGACAC
Long non-coding RNA from Sinocyclocheilus grahami, 250 nucleotides. RefSeq lists it as uncharacterized. The transcript has 2 exons. The record is from RefSeq and is a predicted model, not a curated record. Lineage: Eukaryota; Metazoa; Chordata; Actinopteri; Cypriniformes; Cyprinidae.